GACGAACGCUGGCGGCGCGCCUAACACAUGCAAGUCGAACGGAGUCAAGAGGAGCUUGCUUUUCUUGACUUAGUGGCGAACGGGUGAGUAACGAGUGAGUAACCUGCCCUGGAUUGGGGGACAACAGUUGGAAACGACUGCUAAUACCGCAUAAGCCCACGUAUCUGCAUGGAUCUGCGGGAAACGGAUUUAUUCGCUCUAGGUUGGACUCGCGUCCAAUUAGCUAGUUGGUGAGGUAACGGCCCACCAAGGCGCCGAUUGGUAGCCGGACUGAGAGGUUGAACGGCCACACUGGGACUGAGACACGGCCCAGACUCCUACGGGAGGCAGCAGUGGGUGAUAUUGCACAAUGGGGGAAACCCUGAUGCAGCGACGCCGCGUGGAGGAAGAAGGUUUUCGGAUUGUAAACUCCUGUCGUUAGGGACGAUAAUGACGGUACCUAACAAGAAAGCACCAGCUAACUACGUG
This 468-nucleotide ribosomal RNA is filed under the name uncultured bacterium. RNAcentral's name for it is "partial 16S ribosomal RNA". It matches the Rfam family "Bacterial small subunit ribosomal RNA", at positions 28 to 507 of the family's 1533-position model. The record is from RNAcentral.